RNAcentral lists this long non-coding RNA (321 nucleotides) under Musa acuminata (dwarf banana). RNAcentral describes it as "long non-coding RNA (MACU_LNC003040)". The record is from RNAcentral. Lineage: Eukaryota; Viridiplantae; Streptophyta; Magnoliopsida; Zingiberales; Musaceae.
CAGAAUCGAGUGGAGGAAGGUGGGAUCUACGUGGACCAAUUAUUUUUCCAUGACCCGGAUGGCUUCAUGAUCGAGAUCUGCAACUGCGAGAACCUCCCGGUGAUCUCACUUUCCGGGGAACCCAUUAUGGCCUGCAAGAGAGUCGUCAGCUUCACUCCGCAGCAACAGCAGCAGCAACAGUAUCUCCCGCAAGCCAUCCAUGUCAAGGAGGAGCCCUGCGCAUGAAGAAGAAUGAUCGAGCAUCUCCUCCAUCUCUUUCGGUUUGCUUGCUUUAGUAUGUAUGGUGUUCUGUCGCCAGGACGACAUGGCUUCUUGUGCCUU